AAAGCAGACCUCUAUUUGCCUAAACCCAGUCGUACCAACACCACCCUAUACCAACUCAAAACCCUAAAUUUUCAUCAUUCCUCUUUUCGAAUCACAAACUUUCUCUCUCUCGGAUUCUAUUUGCGGCGAAAAUUAAGAACCCUAGUUCCUCUAUCUUCGUCCUCACCCUCUCAAACUCAAUUCUUGAUUUUGCAUCAGAAACCUCCAUCCGACACUCACCUACUCACAUCGAUCAAUCUCACUGUCUUUUUCGGUAUGCAAGUGUGGCGUCGACUCGGUAGGGGUGGACAGGUGGUGUAGGGGUGGACGGUUUGUGGAUAGCUGGCGGGUGGAUUGUGGAUGGGUUGUGUGUGAACGGUUGAUGUGGGGACGGGUGAUGUGGGGAUGGUUGAUGUCUGGACGAGGGCGUCCUGGUAUUGGUCUGCGUGAACAUAAUUUUCGGGGUCUGGCAGGCGAGCCGUCCACAGCCAAUGGACCGAUUAAUAAUAUUGCAGUUGCUGUUGCAGUUAUGAGAGUUAUCUCAUGGUUAUAUUGGAAGCUUCUCUUAUCUAUAAAUAUGCAUACAAAGACCUCUUUUGUUGUCCUCCAUGUAACAUAUUUAUGUUUCCCUUUUCGGUUUUAAAGCAUGGAUUGUUAUUUUGUGGUUGCAUAUCAAUAGAACCUAAAUGUUGGUUCAAUCUAUUAUGCAACUUUGUGUUCCUUUUUAUCGAAUUCUCUAUAAAAUGGAUAUAGUACGUCCUUCUCAU
Raphanus sativus (radish) is the source of this 746-nucleotide long non-coding RNA. RefSeq lists it as uncharacterized. The transcript has 2 exons. The record is from RefSeq and is a predicted model, not a curated record. NCBI's taxonomy places the organism in Eukaryota, Viridiplantae, Streptophyta, Magnoliopsida, Brassicales, Brassicaceae.